Molecule: ribosomal RNA, 253 nt
Filed under: uncultured bacterium
Lineage: Bacteria
Description: partial 16S ribosomal RNA
Rfam family: Bacterial small subunit ribosomal RNA
Source: RNAcentral
UACGGAGGGUGCGAGCGUUGUCCGGAAUCACUGGGCGUAAAGGGCGCGUAGGCGGCAUGCCAAGCGUGUGGUGAAAGCCCGGGGCUCAACCCCGGGUCGGCCGUGCGGACUGGCGUGCUCGAGCACUGUAGGGGCGGGUGGAAUUCCGGGUGUAGCGGUGGAAUUCGUAGAUAUUGGGAAGAACACCGAUGGCGAAGGCAGCCAUCUGGACCGACACUGACGCUGAGGCGCGAAAGCGUGGGGAGCAAACAGG